This 752-nucleotide ribosomal RNA is filed under the name uncultured bacterium. Its description in RNAcentral is "bacterial SSU rRNA". It matches the Rfam family "Bacterial small subunit ribosomal RNA", at positions 89 to 849 of the family's 1533-position model. The record is from RNAcentral.
GAUGGCGCGGCGAAGGGGAGUACGCGUAUAUAUCUGCCUCGAGGCCCGGGACCCGGCGGGAAACUGCCGGUAAUACCGGAUAACAUCUCCGGAUCAAAGGUGUGAUUCCGCCUCGAGAUGAGUCUGCGUCCUAUUAAUGCUUGUUGGUGUGGUAACGGCGCACCAAGGCGAAGAUGGGUACCGGGUGUGAGAGCAUGGCCCGGCUCACUGGGACUGAGACACUGCCCAGACACCUACGGGUGGCUGCAGUCGAGAAUCUUCGGCAAUGGGCGAAAGCCUGACCGAGCGACGCCGCGUGCGGGAUGAAGGCCCUCGGGUUGUAAACCGCUGUCAGUAGGGAGCAAAUCUCUUGGGGUUAUCCCCUUGAGUUGAGCGAUCUUCAGAGGAAGUACGGGCUAAGUUCGUGCCAGCAGCCGCGGUAAGACGAACCGUACGAACGUUAUUCGGAAUCACUGGGCUUAAAGAGUCCGUAGGCGGCCGUGUAGGUGGGAUGUGAAAGCCCUCGUCUCAACCGAGGAAUUGCGUUCCAAACCACAUGGCUUGAGGAGGAUAGAGGUGAGCGGAACUGAUGGUGGAGCGGUGAAAUGCGUUGAUAUCAUCAGGAACACCAGAGGCGAAGGCGGCUCACUGGGUCCUUUCUGACGCUGAGGGACGAAAGCUAGGGGGAGCAAACGGGAUUAGAUACCCCGGGUAGUCCUAGCUGUAAAACGAUGAGCACUAGAUCGAGGGGACUUCCACAUCUUCUCGGUCGA